AACAAGGAAAGUAAUUUACGUUCUCCUUCUCAUCUAGGAACAUCCUCCUACUAUCGGAUCGAUCGAAGAAUGUCGUCGUGUCGUUUAAAUCCCGCAGUAAAGGAGGUGUUUACUUUCUCUCGCACCUUGGCAAACGAUAAACCAAAGAAAGACAGAAAAACUAUUGAAUUCCUUCCAUCGUAAAAUAUAGUUACGAAGGAAGAUUCUCAUUCUCAUUGUUGAAACGAACGAAUGAACGAAAGAACGAACGAAUGAAAGAUGAUUAUCUGUGAACGUUAACAAUUUUCAACCCCUUGGGUACGGAUUUAUUUGAGAAAAUAUUUGCAUGUGGAACGGACAUAAUUUUUGCUUGCUCGAAGUAGAAUGUGAAAGCAGUACAUUUUACGGUGUUGCUUGGACUUAGUUGACGAAAUGUUCUCAGAAAAGUGUGCCCAAUUUUUCGCUGCCGAACGAAAUGGUGUAUCGCUACUUAACGGACGUCCACGACGUCUAUAAUUUGGCAAUGACAAUUGCUCCAGCAAUUUUUCGGCAAUAGCUAAACGAAAGGAAGUAAUGCCUGCUUUGGUUGUGCAGUUGAUUUUCAGCUCCUAGGGGAAAAAAGUGAAUGACGUGUCUCAGACGUCAAAUGUACCCAAGGGUUUAAGCACAUACACAAAGGAUUCGUGAAGAAAAAAUUGAGCCACCCUAUAAACAUCAAUACUCCCUUUCAUUUCCGUUUAUUAAUUAGUAGUAUUAAUAAUCGAUCGAUAAUUAUUAUAUUGUCAAUGAAUUAUAUAAUUUUAUAGGAUUCGUGAAGAAAAAAUUGAGCCACCUUUUAAAUAUCAUACUCUCCUAGUAUCAUAGUAUUAGGUUGUCCCAUAAGUUAUUUUCGCACCACUAUGUAUAAUAACACAUCAUAUCAAAUCAAUCUUAAACAAUAAAUAUCAUCUAUUGAAUUCGCAUAAAAAAAAAAAAGAAAGCAAAAAACUUAUGGGACAACCUAAUAGUAUAAUAGUAAUAUUCGCAUAAUCAGUUGCCUCGAAAAAUCUCAAAUAUAAUAAUUUGUCAAAAAGAUUGAAUCGUUUGAAAUGAAAUUUUGUAAAUAAUUACUGAUAAUUGUUUGACGAGUUUUGAUUUGUAAAUAUUAUUAAAAA
RNAcentral lists this long non-coding RNA (1133 nucleotides) under Polistes fuscatus (common paper wasp). RNAcentral's name for it is "uncharacterized LOC122523870". The record is from RNAcentral. Lineage: Eukaryota; Metazoa; Arthropoda; Insecta; Hymenoptera; Vespidae.